This 253-nucleotide ribosomal RNA is filed under the name uncultured bacterium. RNAcentral describes it as "partial 16S ribosomal RNA". It matches the Rfam family "Bacterial small subunit ribosomal RNA", at positions 524 to 776 of the family's 1533-position model. The record is from RNAcentral.
UACGAAGGGGGCGAGCGUUGUUCGGAUUUACUGGGCGUAAAGGGCGCGCAGGCGGCUUGUCAAGUCAGGCGUGAAAGCCCCGGGCUUAACCUGGGAGGUGCGCUUGGGACUGGCGAACUAGAAUCUGGCAGAGGGGGGUGGAAUUCCACGUGUAGCAGUGAAAUGCGUAGAGAUGUGGAGGAACACCGAUGGCGAAGGCAGCCCCCUGGGCUGAGAUUGACGCUCAGGCACGAAAGCGUGGGGAGCAAACAGG